AUUGAACGCUGGCGGCAGGCUUAACACAUGCAAGUCGAGCGGUAACAGGGGGUGCUUGCACCCCGCUGACGAGCGGCGGACGGGUGAGUAAUGCUUAGGAAUCUGCCCAGUAGUGGGGGAUAGCCCGGGGAAACCCGGAUUAAUACCGCAUACGUCCUACGGGAGAAAGCAGGGGAUCUUCGGACCUUGCGCUAUUGGAUGAGCCUAAGUCGGAUUAGCUAGUUGGUGAGGUAAAGGCUCACCAAGGCCACGAUCCGUAGCUGGUUUGAGAGGAUGAUCAGCCACAUCGGGACUGAGACACGGCCCGAACUCCUACGGGAGGCAGCAGUGGGGAAUAUUGGACAAUGGGGGCAACCCUGAUCCAGCCAUGCCGCGUGUGUGAAGAAGGCUUUCGGGUUGUAAAGCACUUUCAGUGAGGAGGAAAACCUUACGACUAAUACUCGUGAGGCUUGACGUUACUCACAGAAGAAGCACCGGCUAACUCCGUGCCAGCAGCCGCGGUAAUACGGAGGGUGCAAGCGUUAAUCGGAAUUACUGGGCGUAAAGCGCGCGUAGGUGGUUCGAUAAGCGGGAUGUGAAAGCCCCGGGCUUAACCUGGGAACAGCAUUCCGAACUGUCGGGCUAGAGUAUGGUAGAGGGUAGUGGAAUUUCCUGUGUAGCGGUGAAAUGCGUAGAUAUAGGGAGGAACACCAGUGGCGAAGGCGACUGCCUGGGCUGACAUUGACGCUGAGGUGCGAAAGCGUGGGUAGCAAACAGGAUUAGAUACCCUGGUAGUCCACG
RNAcentral lists this ribosomal RNA (780 nucleotides) under uncultured bacterium. Its description in RNAcentral is "bacterial SSU rRNA". It matches the Rfam family "Bacterial small subunit ribosomal RNA", at positions 28 to 799 of the family's 1533-position model. The record is from RNAcentral.